Molecule: ribosomal RNA, 1848 nt
Filed under: termite gut metagenome
Description: bacterial LSU rRNA
Rfam family: Bacterial large subunit ribosomal RNA
Source: RNAcentral
GAAAGUAAUUAAGGGCGCAUGGCGGAUGCCUUGGCUCUCGGAGGCGAUGAAGGACGUGAUAAGCUGCGAUAAGCUACGGGUAGGUGCAAGUGACCUUUGAUCCGUAGAUUUCCGAAUGGGAUAACCCGGUUGGUUGAAGACCAAUCAUCCUGUGCUUUAUUGCAUAGGAGGCAAACGCAGGGAACUGAAACAUCUUAGUACCUGCAGGAAAAGAAAAUAAUAAUGAUUACGCAAGUAGUGGCGAGCGAACGCGUAUUAGCCCAAACCGGUUAUGUUACGGCAUAUCCGGGGUUGUAGGACCACGCCGUAGGCCUGUGGUAAAUGCGAGAAGAAUGUUUUGGAAAGAACAAUCAUAGAAGGUGAUAAUCCUGUAUUCGUAGCAUUUUCCCCCUUAGUGGUAUCCUGAGUAGCGCGGGACACGUGAAAUCCUGUGUGAAUCUGCCGGGCCCAUCCGGUAAGGCUAAAUACUCCCGAGAGACCGAUAGUGAACCAGUACUGUGAAGGAAAGGUGAAAAGUACUUCGAAUAGAAGAGUGAAAUAGUCCCUGAAACCAUGCGCCUACAAGCGGUCGGAGCUUUGCUUAACCUACGAGUUACUUUUACUGGCCAGGUUAAGGGUUUUAGACCCGCAGCCGAAGCGAAAGCGAGUCUUAACAGGGCGCUUCUCUCUUUUAGGGAGAUCAGUCAGUAGUAGUAGACGCGAAACCAAGUGAUCUACCCUUGGGCAGGUUGAAGGUUAGGUAACACUAACUGGAGGACCGAACCGAUAAGCGUUGAAAAAGGUGCAGCCUUGUUUAUUUACUAAUGUGAGGUAGAGCGACUGAUAAGAUGCGAGGGCUUCGCCGCCUAUCAAGUCUUGAUAAACUCCGAAUGCGCAUUAGUUUAGGACAGGAGUGAGGGCACGGGUGCUAAGGUCCGUGUCCGAGAGGAGAAGAAUCCAGACCACCGGCUAAGGUCCCCAAAUAUAUGCUAAGUUGUUUUAACGCAGUCCUACUCCGGCGACAGCUAGGAUGUUGGCUUGGAAGCAGCCAUUCAUUUAAAGAGUGCGUAACAGCUCACUAGUCGAGGAGUUCGGCAUGGAUAAUACUCGGGCAUAAGCAUAUUACCGAAGCCUUGGGAUGUUUAUACAUCGGUAGGGGAGCAUUCCAUUCUGCGUUGAAGAUGGGGCGUGAGCCCUGUUGGAGCGUAUGGAAACGCAAAUGUAGGUAUAAGUAACGAUAAAGCAGGUGAGAAACCUGCUCGCCGUAAGACUAAGGUUUCCUGAUCAACGCUAAUCGGAUCAGGGUUAGUCGGGUCCUAAGGAGACGCCUAGAGGCUCAUCCGAUGGUUUAACGGGUUAAUAUUCCCGUACUGCCUUAUAGAGUGAUGUGGUGACGAAGUAGUGACAGUGUCGCGGUCUGACGGAAUAGGCCGUUGAAGGGUGUAGAUAUUGAGGAGUAUAGGCAAAUCCGUAUUCCGAGUCGAACCUGAUAGUAUGGAGCGUCUCCGGACAAUCCAAUAGUACACGUAAUCCGACUUCCAAGAAAACCCGCUAAACUUUAAUCUAUAAGGUACCCGUACCGUAAACGGACACACGUAGUCGGGAAGAGUAUUCUCAGGCGCUUGAGUGAUUCACGGUUAAGGAACUAGGCAAAUUGACCCUGUAACUUCGGGAUAAAGGGUCCCUCGCUCCUGUGCAAAUUCGAAAGAAGAAGUAUACAGCCUGACACCUGCCCGGUGCUGGAAGGUUAAGAGGAGAGCUCAUCGCAAGAGAAGGUUUGAAUUGAAGCCCCAGUAAACGGCGGCCGUAACUAUAACGGUCCUAAGGUAGCGAAAUUCCUUGUCGGGUAAGUUCCGACCUGCACGAAUG